CCUACGGGGGGCAGCAGUGAGGAAUAUUGGUCAAUGGGCGCAAGCCUGAACCAGCCAAGUAGCGUGAAGGAUGACUGCCCUACGGGUUGUAAACUUCUUUUAUAAAGGGAUAAAGUGAUGCACGUGUGCCUUUUUGUAGGUACUUUAUGAAUAAGGAUCGGCUAACUCCGUGCCAGCAGCCGCGGUAAUACGGAGGAGCCGAGCGUUAUCCGGAUUUAUUGGGUUUAAAGGGAGCGUAGAUGGGUUGUUAAGUCAGUUGUUAAAGUUUGCGGCUCAACCGUAAAAUUGCAAUUGAUACUGGCAGCCUUGAGUACAGAUGAGGUAGGCGGAAUUCGUGGUGUAGCGGUGAAAUGCUUAGAUAUCACGAAGAACCCCGAUUGCGAAGGCAGCUUACUAAACUGCCACUGACAUUGAUGCUCGAAAGUGUGGGUAUCAAACAGGAUUAGAUACCCCUGUAGUC
Molecule: ribosomal RNA, 460 nt
Filed under: uncultured bacterium
Lineage: Bacteria
Description: partial 16S ribosomal RNA
Rfam family: Bacterial small subunit ribosomal RNA
Source: RNAcentral